UCUGGCACCUUCGGUGUCCGAGUUGUAAUUUGAAGAAGGUAACUUUGGAGUUGGCUCUUGUCUAUGUUCCUUGGAACAGGACGUCACAGAGGGUGAGAAUCCCGUGCGAUGAGAUGUCCAACUCUAUGUAAAGUGCUUUCGAAGAGUCGAGUUGUUUGGGAAUGCAGCUCUAAGUGGGUGGUAAAUUCCAUCUAAAGCUAAAUAUUGGCGAGAGACCGAUAGCGAACAAGUACAGUGAUGGAAAGAUGAAAAGAACUUUGAAAAGAGAGUGAAAAAGUACGUGAAAUUGUUGAAAGGGAAGGGUUUGAGAUCAGACUUGGUAUUUUGUAUGUCUUGCUUUCGGGUGGGGCCUCUGCAGUUUACUGGGCCAGCAUCGGUUUGGACGGUAGGAUAAUGACAUUGGAAUGUGGCACUACUUCGGUGGUGUGUUA
RNAcentral lists this ribosomal RNA (431 nucleotides) under Scheffersomyces shehatae. RNAcentral's name for it is "eukaryotic LSU rRNA". It matches the Rfam family "Eukaryotic large subunit ribosomal RNA", at positions 121 to 559 of the family's 3401-position model. The record is from RNAcentral. Lineage: Eukaryota; Fungi; Ascomycota; Pichiomycetes; Serinales; Debaryomycetaceae.